RNAcentral lists this long non-coding RNA (271 nucleotides) under Medicago truncatula (barrel medic). RNAcentral's name for it is "long non-coding RNA (MTRU_LNC005811)". The record is from RNAcentral. Lineage: Eukaryota; Viridiplantae; Streptophyta; Magnoliopsida; Fabales; Fabaceae.
GAAUUAAUUAACCUUGGAGAAACUGCAGCAUUUGCUUGGUGGGGUUGGUGAGAGUGUUUAAGCUUGAAGGAUAAAAGAUUAGGUUGUUCCAUGUAGAAGGCGAGUGAAGAAGAAGAAGAAGAAGAAGAAGAAGAAGAAGAAGAAGAAGAAGAAGAAAGAGGGUGAGUGGAUUUGAAGGGAAAGAAUGAAGUGACAGUGUGCCGUGAAGACACAGUGGGGACGAUGUGAAGCAUAGGGAAAAAUAGGUGAGUGAUUUUGGUUUUUAGCGUUU